RNAcentral lists this ribosomal RNA (433 nucleotides) under uncultured bacterium. Its description in RNAcentral is "partial 16S ribosomal RNA". It matches the Rfam family "Bacterial small subunit ribosomal RNA", at positions 29 to 507 of the family's 1533-position model. The record is from RNAcentral.
AACGAACGCUGGCGGCAUGCCUAACACAUGCAAGUCGAACGAGACCUUCGGGUCUAGUGGCGCACGGGUGCGUAACGCGUGGGAACCUGCCCUUAGGUUCGGAGUAACUCCCCGAAAGGGGUGCUAAUACCGGAUAAUGUCUUCGGACCAAAGAUUUAUCGCCUUUGGAUGGGCCCGCGUUGGAUUAGCUAGUUGGUAGGGUAAAAGCCUACCAAGGCGACGAUCCAUAGCUGGUCUGAGAGGAUGAUCAGCCACACUGGGACUGAGACACGGCCCAGACUCCUACGGGAGGCAGCAGUGGGGAAUAUUGGACAAUGGGCGAGAGCCUGAUCCAGCAAUGCCGCGUGAGUGAUGAAGGCCUUAGGGUUGUAAAGCUCUUUUACCCGGGAUGAUAAUGACAGUACCGGGAGAAUAAGCUCCGGCUAACUCCGUG